This 406-nucleotide ribosomal RNA is filed under the name uncultured bacterium. Its description in RNAcentral is "partial 16S ribosomal RNA". It matches the Rfam family "Bacterial small subunit ribosomal RNA", at positions 28 to 526 of the family's 1533-position model. The record is from RNAcentral.
GACGAACGCUGGCGGCGCGCUUAACACAUGCAAGUCGAGCGAAGCGGCGGACGGGCGAGGAACACGUGAGUAACCUGCCUUAGACAUUGGGAUAGCCUCGGGUAACAGGGAUUAAUACGAAAUGGUCUAGGAUGGACUCGGGUCGCAUUAGCUAGUUGGGAGGUAACGGCCCAACAAGGCGACGAUGGGUAGCCGGCCUGGGAGGGUGAACGGCAACAUUGGAACUGCGACACGGUCCAAACUCUACGGGAGGGAGCAGUGGGGGAUAUUGCACUGUGGAGGGAACUCUGAUGGAGCGACGCCGCGUGAACGAAGAAGGCUUUCGAGUCGUAAAGUUCUUUUAUAUGGGAAGCGGUACCAUAAGAAAAAGCCCCGGCUAACUACGUGCCAGCAGCCGCGGUAAUAC